RNAcentral lists this long non-coding RNA (350 nucleotides) under Monodelphis domestica (gray short-tailed opossum). RNAcentral describes it as "lncRNA (ENSMODG00000042125.1)". The record is from RNAcentral. Lineage: Eukaryota; Metazoa; Chordata; Mammalia; Didelphimorphia; Didelphidae.
UUAUUUUUGGUCUUUUUGUCCAUAUUUGUGAUUUCAUUAGUAUAGGGAAUUACUUGUGAGGGAACUCCCUCUACAAUGUAUAGUUUUUGUAGAAGCAUUAUUGAAGGCAAAUAGGAAUUGUCAAUAGAAUGUCCAAGUUGGAGUCAGGAAGAUCUAAAUUCAAAUCCUGCCUCAGAUGUUUACUAGCUCUGCGACCUCAGAUUUACCUGGGAGCACUGAGAGCUCAAGAAAUAACUUGCCCACAGCUACCGAGGUGGGACCUCCUCCCAGGUUUUCCUGAAUCUGAGUCCAGCUCUCUGCCCACUAUGUGCACUGCCUUCCAAGAUGUGUCAUUUCAUAGCAUUAGUUGA